RNAcentral lists this ribosomal RNA (530 nucleotides) under uncultured ciliate. RNAcentral's name for it is "SSU rRNA". It matches the Rfam family "Eukaryotic small subunit ribosomal RNA", at positions 507 to 1046 of the family's 1831-position model. Lineage: Eukaryota; Ciliophora. The record is from RNAcentral.
GAUUGCAAUGAGCCGAAUUUACACCCCUUAGCGAGGAUCGAUUGGAGGGCAAGUCUGGUGCCAGCAGCCGCGGUAAUUCCAGCUCCAAUAGCGUAUAUUAAAGUUGUUGCAGUUAAAAAGCUCGUAGUUGGAUUUCUGGGAGGGUGCCAAUGUCCGCCGACGUGCGUGCGCAGCGGCGCCCUUCCAUCCUUCUGUUAACGCCUCUUGGCAUUCAUUUGCUGGUGGCGGGCUCAGAUAUUUUACCUUGAGAAAAUUAGAGUGUUUCAGGCAGGCUUGUGCCCGGAUACAUUAGCAUGGAAUAAUGGAAAAGGACUUCAACCUCUUCUGUUGGUCUGAGAGGCUGUAGUAAUGAUUAAUAGGGAUAGUUGGGGGCAUUAGUACUUGACUGUCAGAGGUGAAAUUCUCCGAUUUGUUAAAGACUAACUUAUGCGAAAGCAUUUGCCAAGGAUGUUUUCAUUAAUCAAGAACGAAAGUUAGGGGAUCAAAGACGAUCAGAUACCGUCCUAGUCUUAACCAUAAACUAUGCCGAC